UACGUAGGGUGCGAGCGUUGUCCGGAUUUAUUGGGCGUAAAGGGCUCGUAGGCGGCGUGUCGCGUCGGGAGUGAAAGCCCGCUGCUUAACGGCGGGUUGGCUUCCGGUACGGGCAUCACUGGAGCUCGGCAGGGGAGACUGGAAUUCCUGGUGUAGCGGUGAAAUGCGCAGAUAUCGUAAGGAAGACCAGUGGCGAAGGCGGGUCUCUGGACAGUUCCUGACGCUGAGGCACGAAGGCCAGGGGAGCAAACGGG
RNAcentral lists this ribosomal RNA (254 nucleotides) under uncultured bacterium. RNAcentral's name for it is "partial 16S ribosomal RNA". It matches the Rfam family "Bacterial small subunit ribosomal RNA", at positions 524 to 776 of the family's 1533-position model. The record is from RNAcentral.